ACGACGCUGGCGGCGUGCCUAACACAUGCAAGUCAACUUGACUGAAGGAGCAAUCUGACAGUAGAGUGGCGCAAGGGUGCGUAACGCGUAAGUAACUUGCCCAAGGUAAGGAAUAACGUCGAGAAAUCGGCGCUUAAUACCUCAUAAUGCAGCGGAUCCGCAUGGAUAUGUUGUUAAAGGUUUACCGCCUUGGGAUAGGCUUGCGUCUGAUUAGCUAGUUGGUGUGGUAACGGCACACCAAGGCUACGAUCAGUAACUGGUCUGAGAGGAUGAUCAGUCACACUGGAACUGAGACACGGUCCAGACUCCUACGGGAGGCAGCAGUGAGGAAUAUUGGGCAAUGCUCGAAAGAGUGACCCAGCAACGCCGCGUGGAGGAUGAAGGUAUUCUAUAUCGUAAACUCCUGUGAGAGCAGACGAAAGACAGAUUAUUAAUCUGGAUGACCGUAUGCUCAGAGGAAGCCCCGGCUAACUACGUG
This 478-nucleotide ribosomal RNA is filed under the name uncultured bacterium. RNAcentral's name for it is "bacterial SSU rRNA". It matches the Rfam family "Bacterial small subunit ribosomal RNA", at positions 32 to 507 of the family's 1533-position model. The record is from RNAcentral.